UACGUAGGGUGCAAGCGUUGUUCGGAAUCAUUGGGCGUAAAGCGCGUGUAGGUGGCUUACCAAGUCGAUUGUGAAAGCCCUCGGCUCAACCGGGGAAGUGCAGUCGAAACUGGUAGGCUCGAGAACGGUAGAGGAAGGUGGGAAUUCCUAGUGUAGAGGUGAAAUUCGUAGAUAUUAGGAGGAAUACCUGUGGCGAAGGCGGCCUUCUGGGCCGUUCUGACACUGAGACGCGAAAGCGUG
This 240-nucleotide ribosomal RNA is filed under the name uncultured bacterium. RNAcentral's name for it is "partial 16S ribosomal RNA". It matches the Rfam family "Bacterial small subunit ribosomal RNA", at positions 524 to 763 of the family's 1533-position model. The record is from RNAcentral.